AGUAAUGCUUAGGAAUCUGCCUAUUAGUGGGGGACAACAUCUCGAAAGGGAUGCUAAUACCGCAUACGUCCUACGGGAGAAAGCAGGGGAUCUUCGGACCUUGCGCUAAUAGAUGAGCCUAAGUCGGAUUAGCUAGUUGGUGGGGUAAAGGCCUACCAAGGCGACGAUCUGUAGCGGGUCUGAGAGGAUGAUCCGCCACACUGGGACUGAGACACGGCCCAGACUCCUACGGGAGGCAGCAGUGGGGAAUAUUGGACAAUGGGGGGAACCCUGAUCCAGCCAUGCCGCGUGUGUGAAGAAGGCCUUAUGGUUGUAAAGCACUUUAAGCGAGGAGGAGGCUACUUUAGUUAAUACCUAGAGAUAGUGGACGUUACUCGCAGAAUAAGCACCGGCUAACUCUGUGCCAGCAGCCGCGGUAAUACAGAGGGUGCGAGCGUUAAUCGGAUUUACUGGGCGUAAAGCGUGCGUAGGCGGCUUAUUAAGUCGGAUGUGAAAUCCCCGAGCUUAACUUGGGAAUUGCAUUCGAUACUGGUGAGCUAGAGUAUGGGAGAGGAUGGUAGAAUUCCAGGUGUAGCGGUGAAAUGCGUAGAGAUCUGGAGGAAUACCGAUGGCGAAGGCAGCCAUCUG
Molecule: ribosomal RNA, 627 nt
Filed under: Acinetobacter baumannii
Lineage: Bacteria; Pseudomonadati; Pseudomonadota; Gammaproteobacteria; Moraxellales; Moraxellaceae
Description: bacterial SSU rRNA
Rfam family: Bacterial small subunit ribosomal RNA
Source: RNAcentral